This 182-nucleotide unclassified non-coding RNA is filed under the name soil metagenome. RNAcentral's name for it is "partial internal transcribed spacer 1". The record is from RNAcentral.
CCGAGUUUACAACUCCCAAACCCAUGUGAACAUUACCAACUGUUGCCUCGGCGGGAUCUCUGCCCGGUGCGUCCCCCGGUACCAAGGGACGGCCCGCCAGAGGACCACCACUCUUAUUAUACCCCUCGCUGUUUUUUAUAUCUGAACCUUCUCGCGCUCUCGUAAGCUUCAUAAAUAAAUCA